AAACUGAGCAGGUGUGUAGUUGAGGCAGUAACAAACUGAGCAGGUGUGUAGUUGAGGCAGGAACAAACUGAGCAGGUGUGUAGUUGGGGCAGGAACAAACUGAGCAGGUGUGUAGUUGAGGCAGGAACAAACUGAGCAGGUGUGUAGU
Long non-coding RNA from Eriocheir sinensis (Chinese mitten crab), 148 nucleotides. RefSeq lists it as uncharacterized. NCBI's taxonomy places the organism in Eukaryota, Metazoa, Arthropoda, Malacostraca, Decapoda, Varunidae. The record is from RefSeq and is a predicted model, not a curated record. The transcript is spliced from 3 exons.